GAGGAAGCUGAGGGCAGAACAAGGAGCAUCUAACAGAAGUUUAUCCCCACAGGUCUUCAGUGAAAGAGCAAAUUCAGAGGAAGGCUCUUUGGGAACAGGGGAGUGAUAUAUAUGGAGAUGAAGGUGAUGCAAAAACAGAAGAUAUCAAUGGAAAAGCAAUUUUUAAAAAAUCUGCCAGUUCAUCACUAAAUUGCAGCCAGAACCCCCAGAGAUUCUAAUCCUGGUCUGAUAUGUUGGACAUCACCACUGCUUGCUCGACGGCUAAUAAAGCACAGAAGGGCCAAAUUCCUGUCUUUUGGUUCUGCCAUAGUGUAAGUUUUCAGAAGAGCAAGGGAGCUGCCCCUACUAGAGAUAUGCCACUUCAUGUCUGUCUUAGGUCAGUUUUCAGUCAAAGUCUGUGCCCAGCCUUGCAGAGC
Phascolarctos cinereus (koala) is the source of this 416-nucleotide long non-coding RNA. RefSeq lists it as uncharacterized. NCBI's taxonomy places the organism in Eukaryota, Metazoa, Chordata, Mammalia, Diprotodontia, Phascolarctidae. The record is from RefSeq and is a predicted model, not a curated record.